AGUGAACGCUGGCGGUAGGCCUAACACAUGCAAGUCGAACGGCAGCACAGUAAGAGCUUGCUCUUACGGGUGGCGAGUGGCGGACGGGUGAGGAAUACAUCGGAAUCUACUUUUUCGUGGGGGAUAACGUAGGGAAACUUACGCUAAUACCGCAUACGACCUACGGGUGAAAGCAGGGGAUCUUCGGACCUUGCGCGAUUGAAUGAGCCGAUGUCGGAUUAGCUAGUUGGCGGGGUAAAGACCCACCAAGGCGACGAUCCGUAGCUGGUCUGAGAGGAUGAUCAGCCACACUGGAACUGAGACACGGUCCGGACUCCUACGGGAGGCAGCAGUGGGGAAUAUUGGACAAUGGGCGCAAGCCUGAUCCAGCCAUACCGCGUGGGUGAAGAAGGCCUUCGGGUUGUAAAGCCCUUUUGUUGGGAAAGAAAAGCAGCAGGUUAAUACCCCGCUGUUCUGACGGUACCCAAAGAAUAAGCACCGGCUAACUUCGU
RNAcentral lists this ribosomal RNA (491 nucleotides) under uncultured bacterium. Its description in RNAcentral is "partial 16S ribosomal RNA". It matches the Rfam family "Bacterial small subunit ribosomal RNA", at positions 29 to 506 of the family's 1533-position model. The record is from RNAcentral.